Molecule: ribosomal RNA, 388 nt
Filed under: uncultured bacterium
Lineage: Bacteria
Description: bacterial SSU rRNA
Rfam family: Bacterial small subunit ribosomal RNA
Source: RNAcentral
AUUGAACGCUGGCGGCAUGCUUUACACAUGCAAGUCGAACGGCAGCACGGGUGCUUGCACCUGGUGGCGAGUGGCGGACGGGUGAGUAAUACAUCGGAACGUAUCCUGAAGUGGGGGAUAACGCAUCGAAAGACGUGCUAAUACCGCAUAUACUCUGAGGAGGAAAGUAGGGGAUCGAAAGACCUUAUGCUUUUGGAGCGGCCGAUGUCUGAUUAGCUAGUUGGUAAGGUAAUGGCUUACCAAGGCAACGAUCAGUAGUUGGUCUGAGAGGACGACCAGCCACACUGGGACUGAGACACGGCCCAGACUCCUACGGGAGGCAGCAGUGGGGAAUUUUGGACAAUGGGCGCAAGCCUGAUCCAGCAAUGCCGCGUGAGUGAAGAAGGCC